Molecule: transfer RNA, 135 nt
Filed under: Streptomyces sp. SID5470
Lineage: Bacteria; Bacillati; Actinomycetota; Actinomycetes; Kitasatosporales; Streptomycetaceae
Description: tRNA-Ile
Source: RNAcentral
GAGGCGGGGGAGAGUCGACACAGGUCGUCUCGUCUGACCAGCACAAACGCCAGGAUCAGGGUAGGAAUAAGGCCCGCCAAGAUCCUCAAAGGACUCAUAAUCCGUCGGCCGUGGGUUCGAGUCCCACCCGCCCCA